GUUGUUUUGACUAUAGAAUAUCCUGGGCCAUUUAGGACCAGUUAUUUUCUCUUAGCCAGAAGUAUCUCAAACAACUGGUAUAAGGAGAAAAAUUAGGACAGAUCUCAUAUAAGCUACUACUAUCAGAGACAGGAUAUAAAUUCAGACUGUAAUGAGAAGAAGAAAAAGAAGAAGAAGAAACUUCUGCGAACCAGGAAAGAAAGAAAUGAUUUGCAUCAGAAAUUUGCUGUGAACCAUCCAUUAAAGCACAAGGAAAAAGUUCUGGGAGAAAACUCAAAUAACUGUCAAAAGUGUCAAGAGAUUCCUAAAGGAAAACAGAUUGUUCCCUUGACUGAAUGUGAGUUCAGGAUCAAGAAUCCCAGUCCCCUCCUGAUAUCCACGAUUCCUCUAUCACCAAUACAGAAAAACAGCUUCACCACAUCAACCAUCAAACAGCUUCCUGCUCCAUUUUAUGUGCAUUCCAAUGGAGAAUCUAAUGGGAAACAGGAUGCAGGUACCUCUCUUCCAUCAUCCUGCCCUGGAGUCAAACGGUACAGGUCCUUGUGGUGGAACCCUGAAGUACCUUCUGUGACUUCAAUGCUACGUCGAAGUCUCUCUUUGAAAUCUCAGAUUGUAUUAGGCAAUAGACCUAGGUGGCACUUGAGUCAAAGCAGAUCACAGGUUCUUCCUCAUCGAGAAUUCAUAUGGAAGCCUUUCCAAAUUGACCCCAUACUUCUCAGGACAGAGAAUGAAUACUGUGCCAAUACCAAGGGACUACAUAAAGUAAUCGGUCAAAAAUAC
Molecule: long non-coding RNA, 780 nt
Filed under: Pseudonaja textilis
Lineage: Eukaryota; Metazoa; Chordata; Lepidosauria; Squamata; Elapidae
Description: lncRNA (ENSPTXG00000009755.1)
Source: RNAcentral